This 253-nucleotide ribosomal RNA is filed under the name uncultured prokaryote. Its description in RNAcentral is "partial 16S ribosomal RNA". It matches the Rfam family "Bacterial small subunit ribosomal RNA", at positions 525 to 777 of the family's 1533-position model. The record is from RNAcentral.
ACGUAGGGUGCGAGCGUUAAUCGGAAUUACUGGGCGUAAAGCGUGCGCAGGCGGUUUUGUAAGCCAGAUGUGAAAUCCCCGGGCUUAACCUGGGAAUGGCAUUUGGGACUGCAAGGCUGGAGUGUGGCAGAGGAGACUGGAAUUCCUGGUGUAGCAGUGAAAUGCGUAGAUAUCGGAAGGAACAUCAGUGGCGAAAGCGACUUCCUGGACCAAUACUGACGCUCAUGUGCGAAAGCGUGGGGAGCAAACAGGA